CCUGUGGUAAAGAAAAGGCUAAGAUUAGUGUCCAUAUGUUGUUUUGUCCCCAGUGAGUACCUCUCUUAACCUAUUUUAAUCUCCUAAUAAAUCGCACUUUCGAAAACUUAAACACGAAGGCGCGGUAUAAAAGGGUGCUUCCACUGUAAGCAUCGGCUCAUUUGUCAAUCAACCGCCGUGGAGUGAGGAUCAAAUUCAAGAUGGCGGCACGAGUCAAGUACAAAACACAGAGGGGAGAGGUUUCAAAGCGCUUCCUGAUGUAUAAAAAUGCCAACUCUACCUUCUUGUCCGAUAGAAUGUGUAAAAAAGAAAACUCAGUAGAAGUAAAGCUACGAAACCAACGUGAUUUAUACAAAAAAGGAGCAAACGCAUGAUCGGAAAACAACGAUUUCAAACCUCGACAAAAGCUAUUCCCAAGUCAUGGUGACAUCUGAAUAAUCAGCAAGAUAUAUUCCUCAAGAAAAAGCAGAUACAAAGACAUGUAUUACAUUUUCCAUGUGAUUUUAAAUCAUAAACAUUAUUUUAUAAAGGAAACAUGUUUUGUUGCUAUAAGAUUGAUUGAUGUGCUAGUGAAGUGUAUAAAGCAACCAGUCAUAUUUUAUAGACUGCAUUAUAGAUUAUAAUUUUGAAUAAACCAAAAAGCUUUCUCUUUUAUCCAUUCAGUUCAAGACUUCUCAUUCUUACAGUAAAUGCAAGUAUAGAUACAGGGAGGAUAUCCAUUGAAUGAAAACAGUAAAAGUCAUUUCUCUAUUUUGUAUUAUUAACUUAUAAUUAACUUAAAGUAUAAAACAUAUGUUUGGGUAAACCCUUUAUAAAACUAAGGAUCCAGACCGGUUUUGGGCAAAUAGAAACAAAAGCUAAUUCAAUUGUUAUUAUUUCUACAUUAUUUGUAGUCAUCAUAGAUUGGAAGAUAAAAACAAAAUACUAUACAGGUGCAUUCUGAUCCAAAAAGUAGAAAGAUAGACUCAAUUAUGGCUCAAUCUCACUUAGAUGGAUAUCAGGCAUUUCUUUAGUAGCCCUUCAGUUUUUUGGUGUACAUAUAUGUGUGGGUAUAUAAGCUGAUACAUUGUACAAAGGGUUAUCUGCUGUUUCUGUGAGCCAGUUUGCACUAUAAAAAUUAUUGAAACAAAUGUUUUCUUUAUAUUGUAUACCACUCCCUUGUUUUGUACAGUUUCUGUGAGCCAGAUUUGCACUAUAAAAACAAAUAUUGAAACAAAUGUUUUCUUUUAUUGUAUACCAAUUCCUUUGUUCUGUACAGGCAAAUAGUAAGUUUGCAUUUUAUUGGGAUGGUACUAAGCCCUUCUUUUAACCCUACAUCUGAUAAAUUAGCACAAGGGCACAAUGGUCUAAUGACCAAGUGCUUUCCUAGAAAUCAAAUUGACUGCACUAUGCUCCCUAUUCAAACAGGUGUACCUAGUACUCUGUUUAGUAUACUUAUAAAUGACAGGGUGAGGGUAAGUUGACAAAUUUCCUUAGCCUUUCUUUAUGUUCUGGAUCAAGAAGUCUGGUACUAACAGCAGGAUGGCACCAGAGAAAGGACCCAAGGUAAUGACCACCCUAGAUAAUGUAAUAUCAGAGUUUCACUUGCACACUCCCUGGAUACCGCUGAAAUAUCCUUUGAAACUGGGGUCAUUUGCCGUAGCCUGAUCAUGGUAACAUGUAUUGAUCAACUAUUAAAUUUGGUAAAAAGAUAAUAAAGACAAAUUGACUUUCUCGUCAAAGUCAACUGGGGGUUCAACAUUCCCUGACCUGCCCACCACACCAAAUUUUCUUCCUGCUCAGGUAAAUGUCAAAACACUUAAUGGAUUUUUGGUUAAUUCUUGAACAGAUGUACAACAGCAGAUAGGCACACUUUGCAUUUUUGUUUUACACCUGUUGCAGCAACAA
This is a long non-coding RNA of Nematostella vectensis (starlet sea anemone), 1887 nucleotides long. RefSeq lists it as uncharacterized. The record is from RefSeq and is a predicted model, not a curated record. The transcript has 2 exons. Lineage: Eukaryota; Metazoa; Cnidaria; Anthozoa; Actiniaria; Edwardsiidae.